CUUGGGAACUAAAAAUCCUGAGAGGGCCGACGUAGAAAUAUCCGUCAAAAAUACAAAUAUCUUGGGAAUUAAAAAUCCUGAGAGUGAAUCAGUAGAAUGUUAUCAGAAGAAAUCAUAAGGCCUAGCCGAAGCCCUUACAAUUCACCAGUUCUGGUAGUCCCAAAGAAAGGAGAAAUUUAAGACGGAAAACGUAAGGUAUCCAAUGCAAGACCCAUUAGUAAUUCUUUCUAAUUUGGGGAACGCAAGAUAUUUUUCAACAACAGAUUUAGAAUCAGGUUUUCAUCAGAUAUUAAUGAAGGAAUCUGGUGUCAAAAAAAGCAUAUUUUUCAAAUAAAAUGGAAAAUACGAAUUUUUAAGAAUACCAUUCGGAUUAACAAAUGCAACAAGAAUUUUUCAGCGAACAAUGGACGACAUCCUAAAAGAACAAGAAGGGAAAAUAUGUCAUGUCUACGUGGUCGACAUUAUAAUAUUCUCAAAUUCAAUUGAAACAAAAUAAUAAUUAUAUUAUUAAGGGCAAAACUGAAAAUCUCUUUGGAAAAAUCAAUAAAAAUAAAAACGCGAACCCAGUUUUCUAGGAUA
Molecule: long non-coding RNA, 579 nt
Organism: Drosophila biarmipes
Lineage: Eukaryota; Metazoa; Arthropoda; Insecta; Diptera; Drosophilidae
Exons: 2
Source: RefSeq, a predicted model, not a curated record